GCCUGUGAGCACGAGGUAGCUUAUAGAUUAUAGAAUAUAGGUGAGGAUAGCUGGGAUAGCGAGCAACGUAACCAUAGCAAUGAGUGACUGAAGAGGGAGAGGGCGAGAAAGAGUGAACCAGGGGUGAAGGAAACGUGGGAUGAGACAGUGCAGAGCUGGUACCAGAUGAACGAACCGGUAAAUGAGGGAGAGACGAAGAAAGAGAAGCAAGAAUACGAAAGAGAGGGAAAGAGGGGACGAGACACAUCCAUUGAUUUUCAGUGCCAUCUUGUCGUCGUUUCCAGAGGAAAUACCACAGUGAUCCUGGCUGAUCUUGGUAGUACCGGGUCGUUGGCUGAUUUGAUCCUGAUAGUUUCACGACUUUAAAUAGGAUCAGCUGGCUCUUCCAUUCACUGCAGCAUGCAGAUUCGAGGGAUCUGAGCGUAGACAGGAUUAAAAAGAAGAUGAGAGUGUCGCAAGAAAAGAAACUGAGGGCCCCAGCCGGGCCUUAGCCGCGGCGUUGCUUUUGGCCCUAGCAGCGGCGUGUUUCUUCCGUCGUGGAAAUCUCGGUUAAUCAGCAGGCCAGGGUGUACAAGUAACGGUGGUAGCGUCACGUAAUUCUCUCUGAUCGCGGACAAGAGCUAAGGGACGCGGGCGGCAGCCGGUUGCUCGAUAGCAGCUUAUGACGCGUAAUCGGAUCAGCGAUAUCAAAUUAUUGCGAUUAUAGCCGCGGAUAGAAAGAAGUUUUUCGGCCCGCUUAAGAGAGCCCGAGACGACCGACUGGUGGGUCUCCUCAAAAUCAAAUGAUAAGCUUAAUUCAAUAACCGACGGAGAGGGUGCACGCCGGGGGUGUGGCCGCCGGUCGGUUACGGAGAAACGGGUUUGGUCACUGUCUGACGUUCUCUCGGCGCUGAUUCGUCGAUCCACGGUGCCACCCCUUGGCUGGAUGAGAGAACAGUCGCCGCCCUCCGAAUCUCUGUGUUCAUCCCCGUCGGUGUGCCACCCCCGGUUCGUCGGGCGACCUCUCCCUAACAGCCAUCAGCCCGAAUGAACGCUAUCAUUCGAUGAUGCCAGCCCUCUCCCCUGGUCUCGAUUUUACGAUCGAUUCCGGAGCAGGCCGUUUCCGCUGGACACCAGAGCCACGCUUCUCUUCAGCCAUCCUACGUAUGUUUACGCCUGGCUCCUUCUGCGGCUGUCUUGGUACAAUGAGUGCCUCGCUUCCUGGAUGAUAGUGCUGAUGUUAGGCAUCGUUAGUCUUUACAUGAAUUGAGCAUGAUGGAUUACCUUGGUGAGAGAUAGAGAAAUUACAUGACUAAACAUGACACGGGACCGACCUUAGAUAGGUGGUAGGAACCUGUGCGACACUUGUUUCGCACUUGUUCUCACGAAAGGGCCACGAUGAGAGCAGUCCUGGUGCACGACCCUCUUCCCCGUGUCUCGUCUCAGGGGAAUUCUCUUCCAGGGUACGCGAACGUAGUACGUCGUGCAACACCAAAUCGUCCAUAGUGUAUAUACUGAGAACACACAGGAACGAACUCGUCCAUUGGCGUAGACCUUGCCACAACUUCUCCAUGCUGCUCCAAUAGAAACUCGAACCUGCACGUACCUUAUAUAAGAGAUUAUGUUAGUAUAAGAUACAAUAAUAUGAAAUUUUUGUUGCACUGUUGCAUCUGUUUACGUUUAUGCGUUAUGAACACACCGACUUUAUCUUCUUAGUCGAUUAUUAUAAACUAGAUUUCUGUGAUAAUAUUUUUUCAAAUAGAGGUAAAUUUGAUUGGUAGAAAAUGUUACAAGAAAUUUACAAUGAUGCAAAUAAUUUUUAUAUAUAAUUUAAUUUUAUCGCAUAAUAAUGAACAAAUUUGUGUAAUUCAAAGC
Molecule: unclassified non-coding RNA, 1854 nt
Filed under: Bombus terrestris (buff-tailed bumblebee)
Lineage: Eukaryota; Metazoa; Arthropoda; Insecta; Hymenoptera; Apidae
Description: misc RNA ENSBTSG00005027281.1
Source: RNAcentral